Molecule: ribosomal RNA, 822 nt
Filed under: uncultured Bacillota bacterium
Lineage: Bacteria; Bacillati; Bacillota
Description: bacterial SSU rRNA
Rfam family: Bacterial small subunit ribosomal RNA
Source: RNAcentral
AUUAAGACUCCCUUCGGGGAGUGCAUAAAGUGGCGCACGGGUGAGUAACACGUAAGUAAUCUACCUUUGAGUGGGGAAUAACGUCCGGAAACGGGCGCUAAUACCGCAUAACGCAGCGGCACCGCAAGGUGACAGUUGUUAAAGGAGCAAUCCGCUUGAAGAGGAGCUUGCGGCAGAUUAGCUAGUUGGUAGGGUAAUGGCUUACCAAGGCUACGAUCUGUAUCCGGUCUAAGAGGACGGUCGGACACACUGACACUGAAUAACGGGUCAGACUCCUACGGGAGGCAGCAGUCGGGAAUUUUGGGCAAUGGGCGAAAGCCUGACCCAGCAACGCCGCGUGAAGAAUGAAGUAUUUCGGUAUGUAAACUUCGAAAGAAUGGGAAGAAUAAAUGACGGUACCAUUUAUAAGGUCCGGCUAACUACGUGCCAGCAGCCGCGGUAAUACGUAGGGACCAAGCGUUGUUCGGAUUUANUGGGCGUAAAGGGCGCGUAGGCGGCGUGUCAAGUCAGCUGUGAAAUCUUGAGGCUUAACCUCAAGCGGUCAGCUGAUACUGAUGUGCUAGAGUGCAGAAAGGGCAAUCGGAAUUCUUGGUGUAGCGGUGAAAUGCGUAGAUAUCAAGAGGAACACCUGAGGCGAAGGCGGGUUGCUAGGCUGACACUGACGCUGAGGCGCGAAAGCCAGGGGAGCAAACGGGAUUAGAUACCCCGGUAGUCCUGGCCCUAAACGAUGAAUACUUGGUGUCUGGAGUUAUUAAUGCUCCGGGUGCCGUCGCUAACGUUUUAAGUAUUCCGCCUGGGGAGUACGCACGCAAGUGUGAAACU